RNAcentral lists this unclassified non-coding RNA (178 nucleotides) under sea anemone metagenome. RNAcentral's name for it is "partial contains small subunit ribosomal RNA and internal transcribed spacer 1". It matches the Rfam family "Eukaryotic small subunit ribosomal RNA", at positions 1670 to 1828 of the family's 1831-position model. The record is from RNAcentral.
CGCCCGUCGCUCCUACCGAUUUUGAUUUUGAGUGAUCCGAUGAAAUUCUUGGACCGUGUCAUUCAGUCAUUCAGUUGAUAUGGAAAGUUAAUUAAAUUAAAUCUUAUCACUUAGAGGAAGAGAGGAAGGAAGGAGAAGUCGUAACAAGGUUUCCGUAGGUGAACCUGCAGAAGGAUCA